GCCGGGCGUGGUGGUGCACGCCUGUAAUCCCAGCUACUCAGGAGGCUGAGGCAGGAGAAUCACUUGAGCCCUGGAGGCAGAGGUCGCAGUGAGCCGAGAUCAGGCCACUACACUCCAGCCUGGGAGACAGAGUGAUACUCUGUCUCAA
Molecule: unclassified non-coding RNA, 148 nt
Organism: Macaca fascicularis (crab-eating macaque)
Lineage: Eukaryota; Metazoa; Chordata; Mammalia; Primates; Cercopithecidae
Rfam family: Metazoan signal recognition particle RNA
About the family: The signal recognition particle (SRP) is a universally conserved ribonucleoprotein. It is involved in the co-translational targeting of proteins to membranes.
Source: Ensembl